GGUGGAGAACACAGGUUUGCUCCUGGAAGUCAGGUGCUUAAGAGGGACAGUGAAAAGCUCACUGUAGUAGAAAGAUAGAGCUAGCUGAGCCGGCAAGUGUUUGCAGAGCGACUAAGUUUGAGUCUCAGAAGCCAUGUCCAAAAACCAGACGUGGUGGAGUGUGCUUGUAAUCCCAACUCUGGGGAGAUGGAGACAGGCAGAUCCCUGGAGCUUGCUGGACAGCCAGUCCAUAUCUAUGGGUAAGUCCCAGAUCAAUGAAAGACUAUCACAAACCAGGGUUCUUUCUUCAGAACAAAACAGAACGCAUGCCUUUACUUCCCCUUUAGUAGUGGGAACAGACAUGAGUGGUACCCCUGUUUCCCAUGUUGACUGGAUGCUCCAUGCACUUUGCUUUCCUGAUUUAAUCUUAUAAUCUUGAACAUCAUACUUCUAAGGUUCUCCAUGGAGGCUCCAGCUACUCAAGGUAGCACCCUUCUGGUGGGUGAAUCAGCACCAAUGUUUCUAGAGCCAUCAUGAUGCAAGUAGAAUGACCAAGCCAGCCUGACUUCUUCAUUUUGAACCACAGCCUCAGUUGAGCACCCUGUUUAUUUGAGGUCCUUACUCAUAUGUUCAGCUGCUUCUGGGCCUAUGAUCUCCUCCAGCUGGGGUGUCACCUUUACUGAGGGAGCGGGACCUUCCUCAGUAUCAUCAUGCCAUGUUGGAGUUUCUGUCCCCCACCCUACCCGGCUCCUGUCCAUCUCAUCUGAAGUUAUGCAAGUCUAGAGACAGAUGUAGAGUGGGUUCUGAGCCACCACAUCCUCCACUAUGUCUUUAUUAGGCAGGGUACACACCCUACCUAACCUAUUCCUCUUCUCCAUGGCCCCAAAGUAGAAGCCUUUUGGCAGGAGCUACCCAAA
RNAcentral lists this long non-coding RNA (896 nucleotides) under Mus pahari (shrew mouse). Its description in RNAcentral is "lncRNA (MGP_PahariEiJ_G0003846.1)". Lineage: Eukaryota; Metazoa; Chordata; Mammalia; Rodentia; Muridae. The record is from RNAcentral.